GACGAACGCUGGCGGCGUGCUUAACACAUGCAAGUCGAACGGUGAAGCGCCUUCCUUUUUGGUGGGUGUGGAUGAGUGGCGAACGGGUGAGUAACACGUGAGUAACCUGCCCCCUUCUUCUGGAUAACCGCAUGAAAGUGUGGCUAAUACGGGAUAUUCUGGGUCUGUCGCAUGGUGGGUCUGGGAAAGAUAUUGUUUCGGUGGGGGAUGGGCUCGCGGCCUAUCAGCUUGUUGGUGGGGUGAUGGCCUACCAAGGCGGUGACGGGUAGCCGGCCUGAGAGGGUGGACGGUCACACUGGGACUGAGACACGGCCCAGACUCCUACGGGAGGCAGCAGUGGGGAAUAUUGCACAAUGGGCGCAAGCCUGAUGCAGCGACGCCGCGUGAGGGAUGGAGGCCUUCGGGUUGUGAACCUCUUUCGCCAGUGAAGCAGGCCUGCCUCGUUUGUGGGUGGGUUGACGGUAGCUGGAUAAGAAGCGCCGGCUAACUACGUG
RNAcentral lists this ribosomal RNA (494 nucleotides) under uncultured bacterium. RNAcentral describes it as "partial 16S ribosomal RNA". It matches the Rfam family "Bacterial small subunit ribosomal RNA", at positions 28 to 507 of the family's 1533-position model. The record is from RNAcentral.